This 495-nucleotide ribosomal RNA is filed under the name uncultured bacterium. Its description in RNAcentral is "partial 16S ribosomal RNA". It matches the Rfam family "Bacterial small subunit ribosomal RNA", at positions 28 to 507 of the family's 1533-position model. The record is from RNAcentral.
GACGAACGCUGGCGGCGUGCCUAAUACAUGCAAGUAGAACGCUGAAGGAGGAGCUUGCUUCUCUGGAUGAGUUGCGAACGGGUGAGUAACGCGUAGGUAACCUGCCUGGUAGCGGGGGAUAACUAUUGGAAACGAUAGCUAAUACCGCAUAACAGUAGAUAUCGCAUGAUAUCUACUUGAAAGGUGCAAUUGCAUCACUACCAGAUGGACCUGCGUUGUAUUAGCUAGUUGGUGAGGUAACGGCUCACCAAGGCGACGAUACAUAGCCGACCUGAGAGGGUGAUCGGCCACACUGGGACUGAGACACGGCCCAGACUCCUACGGGAGGCAGCAGUAGGGAAUCUUCGGCAAUGGACGGAAGUCUGACCGAGCAACGCCGCGUGAGUGAAGAAGGUUGUCGGAUCGUAAAGCUCUGUUGUAAGAGAGGAACGAGUGUGAGAGUGGAAAGUUCACACUGUGACGGUAUCUUACCAGAAAGGGACGGCUAACUACGUG